This 473-nucleotide ribosomal RNA is filed under the name uncultured organism. RNAcentral describes it as "partial 16S ribosomal RNA". It matches the Rfam family "Bacterial small subunit ribosomal RNA", at positions 335 to 799 of the family's 1533-position model. The record is from RNAcentral.
ACUCCUGCGGGAGGCAGCAGUGGGGAAUUUUGGACAAUGGGCGAAAGCCUGAUCCAGCAAUGCCGCGUGUGUGAAGAAGGCCUUCGGGUUGUAAAGCACUUUUGUCCGGAAAGAAAUCCUUGGCUCUAAUACAGUCGGGGGAUGACGGUACCGGAAGAAUAAGCACCGGCUAACUACGUGCCAGCAGCCGCGGUAAUACGUAGGGUGCGAGCGUUAAUCGGAAUUACUGGGCGUAAAGCGUGCGCAGGCGGUUUGCUAAGACCGAUGUGAAAUCCCCGGGCUCAACCUGGGAACUGCAUUGGUGACUGGCAGGCUAGAGUAUGGCAGAGGGGGGUAGAAUUCCACGUGUAGCAGUGAAAUGCGUAGAGAUGUGGAGGAAUACCGAUGGCGAAGGCAGCCCCCUGGGCCAAUACUGACGCUCAUGCACGAAAGCGUGGGGAGCAAACAGGAUUAGAAACCCUUGUAGUCCCAUG